RNAcentral lists this long non-coding RNA (2012 nucleotides) under Homo sapiens (human). RNAcentral describes it as "HSALNT0390630". Lineage: Eukaryota; Metazoa; Chordata; Mammalia; Primates; Hominidae. The record is from RNAcentral.
AGCGAUUCUCCUGCCUCAGCUUCCCAAGCAGCUGGACUACAGCAGGGAUGACGGCGCUCCUGGAGGCUGGCUGGGAAGCUGGUCAGGGUCCCAGGACUCUGACACCCCCAAUGGCCCUUGUAGCCUUGGGGAGUCCUGUGAUCCAAGGCUGGAGGACUGAGUCCCCUCCAGGUCUCAUAGCAGACGAAUAGCAGCUUCACCCAGGCCUGUUUUGUCGUGGCCCCAUUCAGAGGCCGCCCUCCUCUGUGGUUUAGAGCAUGCCCUGGAAUCCCUAGCACAACCAGGUGACGAGAGUUCCCCGCUGGCCCCCUGCCGCGGGAACACAAAGUACCUUUGCACAUAACCUUUCUUUGUCCUCUGCUGGUGACGGCAAAUAGGGCAGGCCCAGGGCAACGUGGUAAGGUGGCAGAAGUUUGUUUUGGACAGUGUUUGCAGCUUCUCUGUUCCCUUUCCACCAGGGGUUACCUCCUGCUGGCUGACCCCUUCCUGUGCUGCGGGCUGGAAUAUAGGGUUUAACCCUGUUAUAACCCAGAGGAACACAAAAGGAGGAACAUCAGGCUUUAUGGAGAGACUGGAAAUGAAGUGGAGGUUUUCCUUGCUCAUGAAACCUGGCUCACCCUACAGGUAGUCCCAAAGAGAGCUUGUGAUUUUCUUUCCCCUUUGGUCCCCCGACCCCUUCAGAGCUCUCUGGGAAGCUAUGCUCUCUCACUGCUUUCCCUCCCCUGAUCAGAGUCCCUGUGCCAAGGCUCCUGGAUACUGGGGCUGGAAAACCUCCUGUCCCUUCCACCACUCCUGUGCCCUCCAGGGAAGGGGUCUGGGGUCUCGGGGCUCACCCCCACCUGUGUGCCAGUCCCUGUGCUAGGCCUGCACAGACAUCAGCUCGCUGAUCACUACGAGAACCUCAACUCUUCUCCCCAUUUCAUGAGGACACCGAGGCUCAGAGGUGUUCGUGAUACUCAAGAUCACACUGCCAGAGCGUGAGUUACUGGGAUUUGAACUUUGGUCCGUGUGGCUGCAAAGCCAGUGGCUGCUAUGAUUCUCUUUCCACUUGCUGCAGCCCACGUCCCUCUGGGCAAGUCUGACACCCUAGCUGCCCUCAACUGCCUGGCCCCGUGGCGUCCCAGAGGGCGAGGGGAGCACAGGGACUGGGCACAGAGGCCAGCUGGGGUCAAGGCAAGGGGGCUGCCCAGCACAGUGGUUCUGCUCCAGAGGUGCAGUCAGACUGCCUGGGUUGGCUCAUGCCUGGGUCUGUCAUUGUGGGCAGCGUGACCAGCCUAAACCUCAGUUUUCUCUUUUGUCACCUAUGUGCUAAAAAUACUUAUUUCUGGAGAUUCUUGUGAGGAUUAAAUGAGAUCUUCCAAGCCAAGUGCUUUGCAUAGUGACGCAGGGUAGGUGCUCAAGAAAUUUUGUUGUCUGCCUGUGGUCUGGGUGGGGGCAGGGUGGGGCUGCGAUGGUGAAGAAAUGACACAGAAACCCACAGGAAACUUCAUCAUCUAGAUGGUACAUGGAUGGCACAUUCAAGGGAAGUAACGAAACGAGAAGAAAAAACUUUUACAUUUUGGCUGAGCAAAGGCAACAAUAUAAUUACCAUCAUUUAUAAAAACUGCCUCCCAUUAAUGUCUAAUUCCCACAAAGCGCAACAAUGAUUAUCUCAUUAACUAUGUGUCAGAUUAACUUUGUUGCAGGUUUUAUUUGAUUAAAACAGUGAACUCACAACACGUAUUAUGCUCAUUCUUCAUAGUUUGUGGUUUCUGGAGCAUAGUCCUCUGUUGGCAACUUUUUCUAAAUUAGAGGGCACGUUUCUGGGUGGUGCAGACCCCUGUCCCCUCCUCCUCACCCCUACCUUAACAGGGAGAAGCUGCCUGUGGACAGCUCCCAGCUGCACAGGGAAAUCGCUGAAGAUUUCUAAUAGGGAAGUGUCACACUUUGCCAACUCUGGAGAAGACAGAAUAAUUGGCUGGAAUCGCAGACCGGACGGAGUCUCGCUCUGUCUCCCAGGCUGGAGUGCACUG